RNAcentral lists this ribosomal RNA (1345 nucleotides) under Macrococcoides caseolyticum. RNAcentral describes it as "bacterial SSU rRNA". It matches the Rfam family "Bacterial small subunit ribosomal RNA", at positions 99 to 1431 of the family's 1533-position model. Lineage: Bacteria; Bacillati; Bacillota; Bacilli; Caryophanales; Staphylococcaceae. The record is from RNAcentral.
CGAACUGGUGAGUAACACGUGGGAAACCUGCCCAGAAGCGGGGGAUAACACCUGGAAACAGAUGCUAAUACCGCAUAACAACUUGGACCGCAUGGUCCGAGUUUGAAAGAUGGCUUCGGCUAUCACUUUUGGAUGGUCCCGCGGCGUAUUAGCUAGAUGGUGAGGUAACGGCUCACCAUGGCAAUGAUACGUAGCCGACCUGAGAGGGUAAUCGGCCACAUUGGGACUGAGACACGGCCCAAACUCCUACGGGAGGCAGCAGUAGGGAAUCUUCCACAAUGGACGAAAGUCUGAUGGAGCAACGCCGCGUGAGUGAAGAAGGGUUUCGGCUCGUAAAACUCUGUUGUUAAAGAAGAACAUAUCUGAGAGUAACUGUUCAGGUAUUGACGGUAUUUAACCAGAAAGCCACGGCUAACUACGUGCCAGCAGCCGCGGUAAUACGUAGGUGGCAAGCGUUGUCCGGAUUUAUUGGGCGUAAAGCGAGCGCAGGCGGUUUUUUAAGUCUGAUGUGAAAGCCUUCGGCUCAACCGAAGAAGUGCAUCGGAAACUGGGAAACUUGAGUGCAGAAGAGGACAGUGGAACUCCAUGUGUAGCGGUGAAAUGCGUAGAUAUAUGGAAGAACACCAGUGGCGAAGGCGGCUGUCUGGUCUGUAACUGACGCUGAGGCUCGAAAGUAUGGGUAGCAAACAGGAUUAGAUACCCUGGUAGUCCAUACCGUAAACGAUGAAUGCUAAGUGUUGGAGGGUUUCCGCCCUUCAGUGCUGCAGCUAACGCAUUAAGCAUUCCGCCUGGGGAGUACGGCCGCAAGGCUGAAACUCAAAGGAAUUGACGGGGGCCCGCACAAGCGGUGGAGCAUGUGGUUUAAUUCGAAGCUACGCGAAGAACCUUACCAGGUCUUGACAUACUAUGCAAAUCUAAGAGAUUAGACGUUCCCUUCGGGGACAUGGAUACAGGUGGUGCAUGGUUGUCGUCAGCUCGUGUCGUGAGAUGUUGGGUUAAGUCCCGCAACGAGCGCAACCCUUAUUAUCAGUUGCCAGCAUUAAGUUGGGCACUCUGGUGAGACUGCCGGUGACAAACCGGAGGAAGGUGGGGAUGACGUCAAAUCAUCAUGCCCCUUAUGACCUGGGCUACACACGUGCUACAAUGGAUGGUACAACGAGUUGCGAACUCGCGAGAGUAAGCUAAUCUCUUAAAGCCAUUCUCAGUUCGGAUUGUAGGCUGCAACUCGCCUACAUGAAGUCGGAAUCGCUAGUAAUCGCGGAUCAGCAUGCCGCGGUGAAUACGUUCCCGGGCCUUGUACACACCGCCCGUCACACCAUGAGAGUUUGUAACACCCAAAGUCGGU